Molecule: long non-coding RNA, 597 nt
Organism: Parus major (Great Tit)
Lineage: Eukaryota; Metazoa; Chordata; Aves; Passeriformes; Paridae
Exons: 3
Source: RefSeq, a predicted model, not a curated record
AUUAGAAGCUCUUUCAAAGCCCUUGCUAAUGUAUACAGCUUCCACUGCUCCUGCUUUGUCCAUUGAAGCAGAAUUUUCUUCAGAAGCCUCUCUGCAAAGAGGAUUUAUGUACAUGCUCAGCCUCACAGCAGCUCAGAGGUAUUGAGGCCAUUCCUGACCCUCAGUGCAGUGCUGCAGGAGCACAAAUCCAAGACAAAGCCAAGUGAAAGAGAAGCAAGGGAUGCUCUGUAACUGGGAUUACAGUGCAAGCAAGACCAAAGGACAAUGCUGUGUCCCCAAAAGACCUAGGGACUCAAAUGACACAUUAAUGAACAGAAAGGAAGUAACAAAAUCAAGAAGAAGAACAAAGCAGAAAAAAACCUUCGAUGUACACAGAUAAAGAAAGAGUUCUGCCAAAUGUCCUUGUGGCCCAUGCAUUCCGCAUUCUUUGUGCCUACAACCAGCAGCACAUCACUGUCCCCAAGCUUUGCUAACCACUCCCUAGGUCUCAGACCACUGACCACAUAACAAGCCCUAAAAUUUAACCAGGCAAUUCCACCGACAAGCAAUUGGUCUUCCUAGCACCUGGACGUAAAUUAGAGCUUAUUCCCUGCUGUU